This 2822-nucleotide ribosomal RNA is filed under the name Bartonella quintana. RNAcentral describes it as "23S ribosomal RNA". It matches the Rfam family "Bacterial large subunit ribosomal RNA". The record is from RNAcentral. Lineage: Bacteria; Pseudomonadati; Pseudomonadota; Alphaproteobacteria; Hyphomicrobiales; Bartonellaceae.
GAUCAAGUGUCUAAAGGGCAUUUGGUGGAUGCCUUGGCAUGCACAGGCGAUGAAGGACGUGAUACGCUGCGAUAAGCUACGGGGAGGUGCGAAUAACCUUUGAUCCGUAGAUUUCCGAAUGGGGCAACCCACCUUUUGGUGGCUGGAAAAAUUAAGCUGUUUUCAAAAAAAGACAGUUUAGUUUUCUUGUCAUCAGAUAUAAGGUAUCUACAUUUGAAUAAAAUAGAAUGUAAGAAGCGAACGCAGGGAACUGAAACAUCUAAGUACCUGUAGGAAAGGACAUCAACCGAGACUCCGUUAGUAGUGGCGAGCGAACGCGGACCAGGCCAGUGACUUAGAGAAAGAAAAGUAGAAUCGACUGGAAAGUCGAACCAAAGUGGGUGAUAGUCCCGUAUACGUAACUCUUCUUUAAGUCCUAGAGUAGGGCGGGACACGUGAAAUCCUGUCUGAAUAUGGGUCGACCACGAUCCAAGCCUAAGUACUCGUGCAUGACCGAUAGCGAACCAGUACCGUGAGGGAAAGGUGAAAAGUACCCCGACAAGGGGAGUGAAAAAGUACCUGAAACCGAAUGCCUACAAACAGUCGGAGCCCAAGAUUUGUUCUGGGUGACGGCGUACCUUUUGUAUAAUGGGUCAGCGACUUAGUCUAACGAGCAAGCUUAAGCCGAUAGGUGUAGGCGUAGCGAAAGCGAGUCUGAACAGGGCGUUUAGUUCGUUGGAUUAGACCCGAAACCGAGUGAUCUAGCCAUGAGCAGGCUGAAGGUAAGGUAACACUUACUGAAGGGCCGAACCCGUAUCUGUUGCAAUAGAUUGGGAUGACUUGUGGCUAGGGGUGAAAGGCCAAUCAAACUCGGAGAUAGCUGGUUCUCCGCGAAAUCUAUUUAGGUAGAGCGUUAGUCGAAUUCUCCAGGGGGUAGAGCACUGGAUGGGCUAGGGGUCCUCACCGGAUUACCAAACCUAACCAAACUCCGAAUACCUGGAAGAACUAACUAGCAGACACACGGCGGGUGCUAACGUCCGUCGUGGAGAGGGAAACAACCCUGACCACCAUCUAAGGUCCCCAAGUUAUGGCUAAGUGGGAAAGGAUGUGAGGAUCCCAAAACAACCAGGAUGUUGGCUUAGAAGCAGCCAUCAUUUAAAGAAAGCGUAACAGCUCACUGGUCUAAAUAAGGGUCUUUGCGCCGAAAAUGUAACGGGGCUAAAGCCAUACACCGAAGCUGUGGAUUUACUCUUAGGAGUAAGUGGUAGCGGAGCGUUCCGUAAGCCUGCGAAGGGAGACUCGUGAGAGCUCCUGGAGGUAUCGGAAGUGAGAAUGCUGACAUGAGUAACGAUAAAGGGAGUGAGAGACUCCCUCGCCGGAAGUCCAAGGGUUCCUGCUUAAAGUUAAUCUGAGCAGGGUGAGUCGGCCCCUAAGGCGAGGCCGAAAGGCGUAGUCGAUGGGAACCACGUUAAUAUUCGUGGACCUGUGGGUAGUGACGGAUUGCGUGUAUUGUAAGGUCUUAUUGGAUUGAUCUUGCAGUGAAGCAGUUCCAGGAAAUAGCUCCCACAUAAAGACCGUACCCGAAACCGACACAGGUGGACUGGUAGAGAAUACUAAGGCGCUUGAGAGAACUACGUUGAAGGAACUCGGCAAAUUGCACGCGUAACUUCGGAAGAAGCGUGACCCUUUAGCGGGCAACCGUUAGAGGGUGGCACAGACCAGGGGGUAGCGACUGUUUACCAAAAACACAGGGCUCUGCGAAGUCGCAAGACGACGUAUAGGGUCUGACGCCUGCCCGGUGCUGGAAGGUUAAGAGGAGAUGUGCAAGCAUUGAAUUGAAGCCCCAGUAAACGGCGGCCGUAACUAUAACGGUCCUAAGGUAGCGAAAUUCCUUGUCGGGUAAGUUCCGACCUGCACGAAUGGCGUAACGACUUCCCCGCUGUCUCCAACGUAGACUCAGUGAAAUUGAAUUCCCCGUGAAGAUGCGGGGUUCCCGCGGUUAGACGGAAAGACCCCGUGCACCUUUACUAUAGCUUUACACUGGCAUUUGUGUUUGUAUGUGUAGGAUAGGUGGUAGACUUUGAAGCAGGGGCGCUAGCCUUUGUGGAGUCAUCCUUGAAAUACCACCCUUACCGAUAUGGAUGUCUAACCGCAGUCCGUUAUCCGGAUUCGGGACCGUGUAUGGUGGGUAGUUUGACUGGGGCGGUCGCCUCCUAAAGAGUAACGGAGGCGCGCGAUGGUAGGCUCAGAACGGUCGGAAAUCGUUUGUUGAGUGCAAUGGCAUAAGCCUGCCUGACUGUGAGACUGACAAGUCGAGCAGAGUCGAAAGACGGUCAUAGUGAUCCGGUGGUCCCGUGUGGAAGGGCCAUCGCUCAACGGAUAAAAGGUACGCCGGGGAUAACAGGCUGAUGACCCCAAGAGUCCAUAUCGACGGGGUUGUUUGGCACCUCGAUGUCGACUCAUCGCAUCCUGGGGCUGGAGCAGGUCCCAAGGGUAUGGCUGUUCGCCAUUUAAAGCGGUACGUGAGUUGGGUUCAGAACGUCGUGAGACAGUUCGGUCCCUAUCUGCCGUGGGUGUUGGAAUAUUGACAGGACCUGUCCCUAGUACGAGAGGACCGGGAUGGACGUAUCUCUGGUGGACCUGUUGUAGCGCCAGCUGCAUAGCAGGGUAGCUAUAUACGGACGAGAUAACCGCUGAAAGCAUCUAAGCGGGAAACUCACCUGAAAACAAGUAUUCCCUGAGAACCGUGGUAGACCACCACGUUGAUAGGUCAGGUGUGGAAGUGUGGUAACACAUGAAGCUUACUGAUACUAAUCGUUCGAUCGACUUGAUCGUUCCCAUUU